AGCGAUAUGCUUAACACAUGCAAGUCGAACGUUGUUUUCGUCUAUAGAACAGUUGAAGACAAAGUGGCGAACGGGUGCGUAACGCGUGGGAAUCUGCCAAACAGUUUGGGCCGAAUCCCAAAGAAACGAAAGCAGCUUUGCUGCUUGCUUGCUUGCUUGCUUGCUUGCUUGCUGCUUUUCGAUAAAGCUAAAAAGCGCUGUUUGAUGAGCCUGCGUAGUAUUAGGUAGUUGGUUGGGUAAAGGCUGACCAAGCCGCAGAUGCUUAGCUGAUCUUUUCGGACGAUCAGCCACACUGGGACUGAGACACGGCCCAGACUCCGUAGGGAGGCAGCAGUGGGGAAUAUCGGACAAUGGGCGAAAGCCCGAUCCAGCAAUAUCGCGUGAGUGAGUGAAAAACGUCGCGUUAGCGAGGAAGGGCAAUGCCGCUUGUAAAGCUCUUUCGUCGAGUACGCGAUUAUGACAAGACUCGAAGAAGAAGCCCCGGCUAACUCCGUGCCAGCAGCCGCGGUAAGACGGGGGGGGCAAGUGUUAUUCGGAAUGACUGGGCGUAAAGGGCACGUAGGCAGUGAAUCAGGUUGAAAGUCAAAGGCGCCAGCUCAACUGGCGGAAUGCUUUCAAAACCAAUUUACUCGAGUGGGACAGAGGGGAGUGGAAUUUCGUGUGUAGGGAUAAAAUCCGGAGAUAUACGAAGGAACGCCGAAGUAGCGAAGGCAGCUUUCUGGGUCUCUACUGACGCUGAGGUGCGAAAGCUUGGGGAGCAAACAGGAUUAGAUACCCUGGUAGUCCAUGCCGUAAACGAUGAGUGUUCGUCCUUGGUCCGCGGAUCGGGGGCCCAGCUAACGCGUUAAACACUCCGCCUGGGGAGUACGGUCGCAAGACUGAAACUCAAAGGAAUUGACGGGGGCCUGCACAAGCGGUGGAGCAUGUGGUUUAAUUCGAUACAACGCGCAAAACCUUACCAGCCCUUGACAUAUGAACACUUGACGUAUGAACACUUGACAUAUGAACCGGUGUGCUUGUCCUUAACGGGAUGAAACGAAAAUUCAUACAGGUGCUGCAUGGCUGUCGUCAGCUCGUGUCGUGAGACGUUUUUGGUUAACUCCUAUAACGAGCGAAACCCUCGUUUUGUGUUGCUAAGAUAUGCUGCUCCCAGAGGAUCAAUGUCAUCAUUCACCCUCGGCAAGCAGGAACAUAGAACAUGGGCUGGCUUCCGACGAACUUGAGGUUCCGACGAGCGAGCCGGUGGUAAGUGAGCCGCUUCAUCGGUACCUGCCCAUGAAUCUGUGUUCAGUCAGCGGUUAGCCAGGAUUGAUGACACUCCCUCUGUGCCGAUGUUGCACUCACAAGAGACUGCCCGUAGUUCUACUAUGGAGGAAGGUGAGGAUGACGUCAAGUCCGCAUGGCCCUUAUGGGCUGGGCUACACACGUGCUACAAUGGCAAUUACAAUAGGAAGCAGGGCCGUAAGGCGGAGCGAAUCCAGAAAGAUUGCCUCAGUUCGGAUUGUUCUCUGCAACUCGAGAACAUGAAGUUGGAAUCGCUAGUAAUCGCGGAUCAGCAUGCCGCGGUGAAUAUGUACUCGGGCCCCGUACACACCGCCCGUCACACCCUGGGAAUUGGUUUCGCCCGAAGCAUCGACCAGAGA
RNAcentral lists this ribosomal RNA (1643 nucleotides) under Azolla filiculoides. RNAcentral's name for it is "SSU rRNA". It matches the Rfam family "Bacterial small subunit ribosomal RNA". Lineage: Eukaryota; Viridiplantae; Streptophyta; Polypodiopsida; Salviniales; Salviniaceae. The record is from RNAcentral.